This 194-nucleotide ribosomal RNA is filed under the name uncultured bacterium. RNAcentral describes it as "partial 16S ribosomal RNA". It matches the Rfam family "Bacterial small subunit ribosomal RNA", at positions 338 to 524 of the family's 1533-position model. The record is from RNAcentral.
CCUACGGAAGGCAGCAGUGGGGAAUAUUGGACAAUGGGCGCAAGCCUGAUCCAGCCAUGCCGCGUGAGUGAAGAAGGCCUUCGGGUUGUAAAGCUCUUUUGUCAGGGAAGAAACGGUGCGGGCUAAUAUCCUGUGCUAAUGACGGUACCUGAAGAAUAAGCACCGGCUAACUACGUGCCAGCAGCCGCGGUAAU